CCUACGGGUGGCAGCAGUGAGGAAUAUUGGUCAAUGGACGCAAGUCUGAACCAGCCAUGCCGCGUGCAGGAUGACGGCUCUAUGAGUUGUAAACUGCUUUUGUACGAGGAUAAACGCAGAUACGCGUAUCUGUCUGCAGGUAUCGUACGAAUAAGGAUCGGCUAACUCCGUGCCAGCAGCCGCGGUAAUACGGAGGAUUCAAGCGUUAUCCGGAUUUAUUGGGUUUAAAGGGUGCGUAGGCGGGCGGAUAAGUUAGAGGUGAAAUCCCGAGGCUCAACUUCGGAAGUGCCGCGGAUACUGGUCGGCUAGAGAGUAGUUGCGGUAGGCGGAAUUGAUGGUGUAGCGGUGAAAUGCUUAGAGAUCAUACAGAACACCGAUUGCGAAGGCAGCUUACCAAGCUACUUCUGACGUUGAGGCACGAAAGCGUGGGUAGCAAACAGGAUUAGAUACCCUUGUAGUC
This 460-nucleotide ribosomal RNA is filed under the name uncultured bacterium. RNAcentral describes it as "partial 16S ribosomal RNA". It matches the Rfam family "Bacterial small subunit ribosomal RNA", at positions 338 to 795 of the family's 1533-position model. The record is from RNAcentral.